CAGCAGUCGCCACGGUAAUACAGAGGGUGCAAGCGUUAAUCGGAAUUACUGGGCGUAAAGCGCGCGUAGGUGGUUUGUUAAGUUGGAUGUGAAAUCCCCGGGCUCAACCUGGGAACUGCAUCCAAAACUGGCAAGCUAGAGUAUGGUAGAGGGUGGUGGAAUUUCCUGUGUAGCGGUGAAAUGCGUAGAUAUAGGAAGGAACACCAGUGGCGAAGGCGACCACCUGGACUGAUACUGACACUGAGGUGCGAAAGCGUGGGGAGCAAACAGGAUUAGAUACCCGCGUAGUCCCUGUCUCUUAUAC
Molecule: ribosomal RNA, 304 nt
Filed under: uncultured bacterium
Lineage: Bacteria
Description: partial 16S ribosomal RNA
Rfam family: Bacterial small subunit ribosomal RNA
Source: RNAcentral